Molecule: ribosomal RNA, 73 nt
Filed under: Xenorhabdus sp. GDc328
Lineage: Bacteria; Pseudomonadati; Pseudomonadota; Gammaproteobacteria; Enterobacterales; Morganellaceae
Description: partial 16S ribosomal RNA
Rfam family: Bacterial small subunit ribosomal RNA
Source: RNAcentral
UGUGAUUCAUGACUGGGGUGAAGUCGUAACAAGGUAACCGUAGGGGAACCUGCGGUUGGAUCACCUCCUUACC